RNAcentral lists this unclassified non-coding RNA (343 nucleotides) under soil metagenome. Its description in RNAcentral is "partial contains 5.8S ribosomal RNA, internal transcribed spacer 2, and large subunit ribosomal RNA". The stretch from base 1 to 120 matches the Rfam family "5.8S ribosomal RNA", at positions 35 to 154 of the family's 154-position model. The record is from RNAcentral.
GAUGAAGAACGCAGCGAAAUGCGAUAAGUAAUGUGAAUUGCAGAAUUCAGUGAAUCAUCGAAUCUUUGAACGCACAUUGCGCCCGCCAGCAUUCUGGCGGGCAUGCCUGUUCGAGCGUCAUUUCAACCCUCGAGCCCCCCCGGGGGCCUCGGUGUUGGGGGACGGCACACCAGCCGCCCCCGAAAUGCAGUGGCGACCCCGCCGCAGCCUCCCCUGCGUAGUAACACACACCUCGCACCGGAGCGCGGAGGCGGUCACGCCGUAAAACGCCCAACUUUCUUAGAGUUGACCUCGGAUCAGGUAGGAAUACCCGCUGAACUUAAGCAUAUCAAUAAGCGGAGGA